AUAAAGGCAGAAAUAAACAACCACUGCUAGACCUAAAUAAACAAGUGUUGUUCCUGAAGAUGAAGUGGCCAAUUCACGCUGUCCGCAAAGAGACUCUCCCCUCUGGGCGCUAGCUUUGGCUUUGAUGAAUAUUCAUGAGAACAUCUCUGGUGUGAUGGCGGCGGGGGGACUGUUUACUCCAGCGAAGAAUCAAAGGGAGGGUGCUGCUGUGUCAGAUGGCAGGAAGAAUGUGGAGGUGGGUGGAUAGAAUGGAAUGGAAAUGCAUGUGUGAGCGCCUGUUUGUAUUUCAGGCUCUGGGAGACUGGGGAGGUUCGUUAAAGACACGUUGAGAGGUUGUUGCCGUGGGGACAGCUAACAUAUGGAUUAGCCUGACACCGAGAACCAGAGGUUGCAGAUACAUAUGACACGUAAACAUGUUGGGAAGAGAAUACAGGGCAUCCUUCACGGUGGACAUCGAGCAGACAGCAUUGUGACAUCUUUUGGGAAAAGUUGGAACACCAAACCGGCCAGUGUUCGAUGGGAAUCUUCUAAAUUGGAUUACAAGUCUGGCUUAAUUGCAGCUUUUUUCUUUAGAUCCCAAAAAAUAGACAGUUGGUACUUUUGAGGAUUAAAAAUGUACAAAAACUAUACGGGACAGCUCGAACUUUGGAUGUAAAAUUAAGACAAAACUAGGUUUGGGGAGCUUAGGGAAAUUGUUGUAGCUCAUGUAUAAUGAUCUGCAAUCCCAUUAGGCUAAGCCAGACACUCUAAAGCAUAAAUUUCUUUUCAUGGUCCAGUCAGUUAGUACAACACCUGCAAAUGGGAAAGAAAAGAGAAAAGCACCGAAGAUUUUUAUUUAUUUAUGUUACUUAGCAUUUCACCCAGCAAUACAGAACUGUUACAUAAACAAAAGCCAUAAUGCAGUAGUCUUGGAAACAAAUAUUACAUACAUAGAAAAGUUACCUCUCAAUCAAAACAGGGUUUCUUCAGUGGUCAGUGCCACAUUAAAUAUAUUUAUUAACAGUCAUUCUGCUGGAAGGAUGCAGGUAAAUUAAGAAUAAAGAUCUCUUAUUAUUUUAGAAUUUGUUCAAUUAUUAUUUUUUAAUCGCCUCAAAAAAAGCGUUGCUUGGUAUCUGGAGUUAUUUACACGUGGAACUGAUCAUAAAAUGUGAUAUCACAUAAAAUAAUGAGAUAAUUAGCUAGUUGCUAGAGUAAAAACUAGCAAAGAUUUUAUCAAGGUCUGAGAGCAUUGACUGAAUAAAGAACAUAGACUGAAUAAAGACUGAACAGCCCAUGUGGAUAAUCUAGUGCCACUUUUAUCUGCUGUGUAGUUUAAAUACUUAUAUUUCCUCAAAACAGCCAGUAACCACAUUAAAAAUGUAAACACCUAAGCGUGCCUAUAAGAGAUAAGAAAACAAUGCUCAAGAACUUUGAUAGAAAAACUGUUUUACUGUUUUAAAAAGACAUAGCACAGCUUCACAAAAAGUUCAUUUCAUGUGCUAAAUGAUAUAAAUUGUCUAAGCCUUUUUUUGCUCUAGGCUUGGUCUCUUUCAUGCUUUGCCCAAAACAGUUGAUAAUUAAUAACCAGCAAAUGUUAUCUAGUCAACUAUUUAAUAACAACUAAUUAUCUGCAAGGUGGCUGGGCUCUUUGCCUUAGAGAUAGGUUGAAGAGCUCAGACAUCUGGAGGGAGCUUGCAGUGGAGCCGCUGCUCCUGAGUGUUGAACGAACACAGUUAAGGUGGUUCAGGCAUCUGGUUAGGCUGCUUGCUGGGUAAACCCCUUCGGAGGUUUUCCCAGGCAUGCCCAACUGGGAAGAGACACUGGGGUAGACCCAGAGCUCAUUGGAGACAUAAUGCUCAUCUGGUCUGGGAACACCUCAGGAUCCCCCAGGAGGAAAUGCAAAGUGUUGCUGGGGAGAAGGACUUCUAGAAUUCCCUUUUUAGCCUGCAAUGACGAAAACUCAAGUUCAGAUAAGUGGAAGAUGGAUGGAUUCCCAGUUUAUGAGUUUGUGUCACAUUUCAUAGUUGUGCUUAAAUGUCUGUUUAGCACACAUUAAAGCUGGACCAGUGUGACUAGUGUGACUGUUUAAAGUUCACAAUAGCUCCAGUAAAUGGCUCCAGUUAUACUGGCAAAAGAAAAAUGUGUUGACAUGUUUUGGUAAGAUAUUAAAGUAUUCUCAUUAGUCUUUAUCAGCCACUCUGGCUCUGACUCUUCCAAUGUCAAGGGUAUGUGAGAAUCUUCCCUGAGUAGCAGGUGUGAUAAUUGAGACUAUAAGGUGAACCAGGCUAGACUGUAGGCUAGACAACGUGUGUGUGGAUGAGAAGUAAGUCACAGUCGAUAAGAAUUUUUGCUGUGGGAUAAGCUUGGAAGACUUGACGAAAUUUGUCUUGACAAAUUGCUUCCAUUGGCCUAAAACAAGUUCCCAACAUUCUUGGAGGUGACGAAAUGUCUUAUUUCCUAAGGCAAUAAGAGUUACAUUACCACAUCUACCAGGAACUGCAAGAAGGUGUCAGUGAAAUAUGUGGCUUAAGGAUUUGGCAUAAAUGUUGCAGUGCUGAGAUUCAAAUGGAUGCUAUUUUAAAGACGUGUAAUUUUAUAAUUCACAAAACUACUAUGCAAGUGUUUUUUCUUUGUGGAUACUUACAAAGUUUAGUUCAGCCUUAACCCAACUUUAUUUUAUGUCUACAUGACUGGUAGAAAGACAGUAGAAGAGUAAAGGCAGAGGAUGAAUAGAGCCAGCAAGAGUGAUGGAAGAUGGUCACUGAAGAUGAGCCAUGGGGGAGUGAUCAAUGGAGGCUGAGCAGCAAAAGACAAGAGCCAGUCAAGAUGUCAAGGCUGUACUCGGUGGUGCGGCCAACAAAGAUGAAUGAUCUUAUACGAGAGACGACUCUGAGGUCAGGCUGAUAUUGUCAUAGCACUGACUUUUUAGUUUGAUUACCAUCGACCUGCCUCACUGGAGAAUGUAUUGACUGAGAAUGUGAAUGAGCUAUCUUGGAUAUUUAUGACCGCACUUCAUUCAUGCAUUCCUGAUGCUGAAGAAAAGGCCAAAGACAAAAAUGAAAUUGCUCAAUGAAUUGCCUAAACUUUCUGAGAAUCUGUUUUUGUGUGAUGAAAUUUGUUUCUUGCAUUUCUGUCUUCAUUUGAAAACAAUUACUUGUGUAUGAAUGUAAUUCUGCAUAAAUGACCGUAUGUUGAAUUAGUAUUGGUUGUAGUAUUUUUUGUGUUAGUUAAAAAAUUUUACUGUAUAUGUUUGUCUUGCUGACCUUGUAACCCAAACAACAUGUUUCCGUACUACUAACCUGUCUUACAAAAUAAGUUUUGGGAGAAAUGCAGUUGCUGUAGUAGUUGUAGAGAGCACGUUGUAAAAGAAGUUGCACAAAGCAAAAAGUUUUGUCUCUUGAGGUCUUCGCUCUGCAACCUACAUUACACUGACUUUCUCAAAAUUCAUCCAAGGCCGCAGUCCUAGCUGUAACAAGAAACUCGAGUUGGAUAAACAUAACUAUGAGACCAUUAUUCAUGCUCAUUACCAGGAGCUCAGAGACUUCAGUGAAGUGGAGCUGAAGAACUGAUUAGUCCAUCAGCUGAAAAUGAAUAUUAAUAUGCAAUCAGUUUGAUAACUAAUCAUUAAAGUAACAGAUAAUGUUAAUGUUAAU
Oreochromis niloticus (Nile tilapia) is the source of this 3632-nucleotide long non-coding RNA. RefSeq lists it as uncharacterized. The transcript has 3 exons. Lineage: Eukaryota; Metazoa; Chordata; Actinopteri; Cichliformes; Cichlidae. The record is from RefSeq and is a predicted model, not a curated record.